GGGAGAGAGAAGGGCCUUGGGAAGCUGCUCCAUGAGCCACAGCUGUGCCGAGCCCGGGAGUCUGUCCAGCAGGAUGUGGAGUGCCACCAUGUCCCCGAGGUCACCCUUUCUGCUGUUGGGAGAGCAUGAGGUGGAUGGAGAGGAUCCCCAGGCAUCUGCAGGCAAAAGGGACUGGCACAACUGCGAUUUUUCUCCAGCUCUCUUAAGGUGGACUUUCAGGGUACCAUGGGGAAUAACUCCUGUCAGCAGCAAGGUCCCGACUGAAGUGGCAGC
This is a long non-coding RNA of Pipra filicauda (Wire-tailed manakin), 273 nucleotides long. RefSeq lists it as uncharacterized. The transcript is spliced from 3 exons. Lineage: Eukaryota; Metazoa; Chordata; Aves; Passeriformes; Pipridae. The record is from RefSeq and is a predicted model, not a curated record.